This 1857-nucleotide ribosomal RNA is filed under the name Triticum aestivum (bread wheat). RNAcentral describes it as "partial small subunit ribosomal RNA". Lineage: Eukaryota; Viridiplantae; Streptophyta; Magnoliopsida; Poales; Poaceae. The record is from RNAcentral.
AUGGAGCCGUCGUCGUCCAUCACGUUCGCCUCCUCGUCGUCCUACCUGUCCAACGGCUCUAGCCCCUGCUCCGGCGCUCUGGCGCCGCUGCCCGCGGCGGACGGGUGGGGCGGUGGCGGUGGAGGGGGAGGGGGAGGGAGCAGCAGCAGCGUCGAGGCCGUGAGCCUGAAUCGCCUCAGCAGCAAUCUCGAGCGCCUCCUCCUCGAUUCUGAACUCGACUGCAGCGACGCUGACGUCGACGUCGCGGACGGCGGUCCGCCCAUCCCCGUCCACCGUUGCAUCCUCGCCGUGCGCAGCUCCUUCUUCCACGACCUCUUCCGCGCCCGCGGGAGCCGCAGUGAUGGGGCCGUCACUGCCUCUGCCUCCGCCACCGGAGGCGGAGCGGGAGGGGAUGUGAACGGGAGGCCGCAGUACAAGAUGGAGGACCUCGUCCCAGGUGGCCGUGUGGGCCGCGAGGCCUUCCUAGCGUUCAUGGGGUACCUCUACACGGGCAGGCUCCGGCCGGCGCCGCUGGACGUGGUGUCAUGUGCUGAUCUUGUGUGCCCGCACGACUCGUGCCCGCCGGCUAUCAGGUUCGCCGUCGAGCUCAUGUACGCGGCUUGGACCUUCAGGAUCCCCGAGCUCAUGUCGCUGUUCCAGCUUCAGGCUAGAAAUGUUCGACUCAUGCGACGGCUUAUGAACUUUGUUGACAAGACUCUGGCGGAAGACGUCCUACCUAUUUUGCAAGUUGCUUUCCACUCGGAGCUUACUCAAGUGCGUGAAAAAUGUGUUCAAAGGAUUGCAAGAUCGGAUCUUGAUAUUAUGUCUUUGGAUAAGGAACUCCCUCCAGAAAUUGCUGACGAGAUAAAAAAGAUCCGUCAGAAAUCUCCGCCAAUUGAUGGUGACACCAUCAUUUCGGACCCUGUACACGAGAAAAGAGUAAGAAGAAUCCACAGGGCACUGGAUUCUGAUGAUGUUGAACUUGUCAAGUUGCUUCUUAAUGAGUCUGAAAUCACCCUUGACGACGCAAACGCAUUGCAUUAUGCUGCAGCUUACUGCGAUUCCAAAGUUCUUACAGAGUUGUUAGGCCUGGAACUUGCCAACUUGAAUUUGAAGAACAGUCGUGGGUACACAGCACUCCACCUAGCUGCUAUGAGGAGAGAACCAGCUAUUAUUAUGUGUCUCUUAAGCAAAGGAGCAGUGGCGUCGCAAUUGACAGAUGACGGCCGCCUUGCAAGUAAUAUUUGUCGAAGGUUAACAAGACUAAAAGAUUACAAUGCGAAGAUGGAGCAGGGCCAAGAGUCAAAUAAAGAUAGGAUGUGCAUUGACAUCCUAGAGAGGGAGAUGAUGAGGAAUCCUAUGACAGCGGAAGAUUCUGUCACCUCACCUUUAUUGGCUGAUGAUCUUCACAUGAAACUAAGCUACCUGGAAAACAGAGUCGCGUUCGCAAGACUGUUCUUCCCUGCUGAAGCGAAGGUUGCCAUGCAAAUUGCACAAGCAGACGUCACACCAGAAGUUGGUGGUUUUUCUGCAGCAAGUACUUCUGGUAAACUGAGGGAAGUCGAUCUGAAUGAGACGCCAGUAACAAAAAACAAAAGGCUGCGUUCAAGGGUGGAUGCACUAGCGAAAACAGUGGAACUGGGCCGUCGGUACUUCCCAAACUGCUCGCAGGUGCUCGACAAAUUCUUGGAAGAUGGCCUGCCUGAUGGCCUUGAUGCGUUCCAGCAGCAAAGCGGCACCCCUGAUGAGCAACAGGUGAAGAAGAUGCGCUUCUGUGAGGUGAAGGAGGACGUGCGCAAAGCAUACAGCAAAGACACGGCCGAUAACAGCAUGUUUUCGGCCCUGUCGUCAAACUCCUCGUCCUCGGCGAUGAAGUGA